CUCAGUUUUAAUGUUGUUUAACUUGGGUUCACAUAUUGUUCCAAGUUUUAUUGGGUUACAGGAUGCUAUUUAAACCCUUCCUAUUUAUCAAUCUUUUUUGCUUGACUGUUUUAUAUAACAGGGAAGCAAGCUCUGGCUGAGAGAUCAUUGCAUGAAUCCCACUGUUUGCUAGACUCGCUUUGUCCACCUCAGGAACAUAACAAGAACAGAAUAGUUAGAGCAACAAUAUGUGAAAUCUUCACUAAUGUAUUACAAUAUUUGCAGGGCCGGGUAUAAAUCAUACGAUAAGUGAUCUUAAUGAACUCCUUUCAGCUGUAAAUGGUAGAUUAUAAGAUCCAGUGAGAUGCCUAGCCACCUAGUUGUUAUGUGAGUACUAACUUCAGGCAGUUUCUCAACAAGAGUAGAAUUGUAUUUUUAACUUCAAGUCGCAUUUUAUUUCAAUUAUGGAAAAUGAAAGAUAGAAAUGAUGGAGAUGCACAACUAUCCUAUGUGGUCUUUGUAUUAGUCUUCAAUCAUUUUUGUUGAAAGCGAUAUUUGUGAUGAAGGCUUGACAAUAUUCAAGUGUCUUCCAUAUCUAUCCGUUCAGUGCUUAGGAUUACAGCUAUGGUCUUGGCAUGUGGAAGUGGGGUUGCGUACGCGCACUCAAGUCCAAUUGUCUUAUUGACCAUAGCAAAUCCUCUGUUAGCACAGAUUAUUCAGUUCAUCAACGAUAACAGUGCAUUGUUUGUGGUAUCAACACUAUUUGUCUAAUCUUAUUUAUUCUAGCAAGGAACAUAUCAUAGUAAGUAAGGUAAAAUUUACCUGGUAUCAUUUUCAACAUUUAAAUACUCAAAAUACUAACGAAAUUAAGCAUGAAAUGGUGACUGCUUCCAUGUUGAAAAUAAUUCCAUGUCUGUUUUUGUAUUUUUUCAGAUCACUUCUUCGGCUCUUGUGAGCGUUUAUUGUGUUUGUGAGUACAUCCACCAGGCAUUUUUAUUUAAAUUGCUGUUUUAGAGUUUAACUGUCAAUAAAUGUUAGAAUAAAAUUUAAUCAUGUGUGCCACUACCCUGUAUGGUGGUCUUGGUAACUCAUUUUUAAAUGAUUUCUGUAUCAACUGUUUAUCGGGGCAUAGGCUGUGAAAUGUCAUGUAUCUUUUCUAUCCUUUCCCUUUCAAGUGCUGAUGGAGAUGUAGCUUUGGACGUGGCAUGAGGCAUGUGGAUUUGGGGCUGCGGUCUCGCACUCAUUUCUUAUUGUCUAAUGUCAGAUUGUGCCUCUGCAAAUCCUCUGAGAGCACAGAUCAGUCAAUGUAUUUUUUGCAAGUCACAUAUGUUUAAUGACAUAAGUUGCUGUGAGUAUAAAUUUCUGAAGGUUUUCUUUAAAAUAGUGUAAACAGUUUUGAACUUCAGGUUAGAAGUGACACUUAAGUGUAAUAAAUGAUUGAGACGCACAACUACUCUAGGUGGUCUUUGUGUUCGUCUUCAAUCAUUUUUGUAGUUAGCGAUAUUUGUGGUAAAGACUUGACAAUAUUCAAGUGUCUUCCAUACCUAUUUGUGAAGUGCCUCUAGGAUUACAGCUAUGGUCUUGGCAUGUGGAAGUGGGGUUGCGUACGCGCACUCAAGUCCAUUUGUCUAAUCAGCCAUAGCAAAUCCUCUGAUAGCACAGAUUGUUCAGUUCAUCAACAAUAAUGGUGCAUUGUUUGUGGUGUCAACACUAUUUGUCUAAUCUUAUCUAUCCUAGCGAGAGACAUGUCAUAGUAAGUAAGGUAAAAUUUACGUGGCAUAAUUUUUAACUUUUCAAUUAUGAAAAUUGAAUUAUUGAAAUGAUUGAGAUGUACAACUUCUCUUGAUGGUCUUUGCACCUAUCUUCUAUCACUUUGGUAGCUUCAGAAAUUUCUGAUUAACUCUUGAUAUGAUGAAUGUAUGUGUCUUCACUAUCUAUCUAUAUGUUGUAAGUGCUAAUUGGAUUGUCGCUCUGGACUUGGCAUGCUGAUUUGGGGUUGUCGUCCGGGCAAUCAAAUCUAAUUGUCUAAUGUCAUCUUGUGACAUUGCAAAUCCUAUGAAAGCACAGAUCAUUCAGUGUAUUGUUUCAAUUAACCAACACUACUCGAAUCGUGUAUUGUUAGUAGUGUUCAACACUGUCAGUCUAAUCUAAUCUAUCUAGGUAAGGGACAGUGACAUUUCAGAGUUCAUAGGCUUCAUUCUAGCUGGUAUUGUUUUUAACUUCAUCAAAUGUUAGAAAUUAUGACAUUGUGAUAAUCAUAAGUUUAAUCUAAUCAAUGUUGUUUGAUAGUUUCAGACGAGUCAGCUCCUCUACUAUUGGGAAAUAUGUUGCGGUUUAGUUUCUGUCCAAGAAAAAUGGCUGGGAUUCUGCGCUUGAAUUCAACUAGACAUAAACCAAUUAUAUGGUACCUAAAAUAUCACUGUGAGUACAAAAUUUGGUGAGUUUCUCUAUGUAGUAUGCAUAUUUAACUGAAAGUGCCAUACAAUAUCAAAAGUUUGACCUGUUUUGUUGUUGGUGACUUGAACUUUGUUACGCCAAAGAUGGAGAGUAAUUUGAGCUAUUGAACAUUGGUUUCUGAUUAUGUUAAAAUCGUUUUAGUAGAGUUUGUGAUAUAUGUAUAUGAUUAAGAUGCACAAAUACCCUCUAUGAUUUUUUGUGUCAUUCUUGAUCCAAAUUUGUCCUAAGAAGGGUUGAUGUUAUCCAUCUAACUUUUCUGGGAAUAUGUUCUAAAUGCUGAAACGGUUUGAAGUAUUGCCUUAACAUGUUGAUUUGGGUAGCGUUCGCGCUUCUUUUUAUUUAUUUUUUAUUUAUUUUUUUGUUUUCAAAUCUAAUUGUUGAAUGUCAUUUGGUCCAUCACAUAUCCUCUUGCAGCAAAGAGCACUCUACAAAUACAGAGCUUUAUUAAUUGUGAUUGUUUGGGCAUCUAUAGAAUAUUUCAAAGUAAAGUAUUGUGUUGCAUGUUAUACCUUCUGAAACUACUCAAGUACAAUGUAAACAUCUGUUUUCAUGAAUGAUUGGGACUAGCAAUUAUCCUAAUUAUGGGAGUUGUUAAAGUCUUUCAGCAUUGAAAAGUUUUAAAUAGGAUUUGUAGUAUUGGGCAGUUGUUGGACUGGCAUCGUCUUCAUCAUUGUGUGAAAACUGCUAAAAUGGUUUUAGCUUUGACCUAGACAUGCUGAUGCAGGUAGCGUAUGCACUCCAAAUCUAAUUGUCGAAUGUCAUUUGGGUCAUCAUAUCCUUUUAAAGCUGAGAGUACUCCUUGUAAUGUAUUGUUUCAAUUCACAAACGAUCAGAUAUUGCCUCAUAGAAUUACUUUUCCUAUUCUGAGAUUUUGAUUUCUUAUGACAGAGUAGAGGAGUUGCGAGGAAUACAGACUCAUUAUUCAGGGAGAGCGGCCAUCUGUCAAAGAGAAAUAUCAUCGAAUUUUGCUUCAUAAUGCUGGGGUUGUGAAUUACUGUUAAAGAAAAGAAAACUAGAAAAUACAGCAUGUAUUCCUGUCACUUUCUUCACUCCCACAACAUAAUAUUCGUUUUCUCUUAAAUUUCAUUCAUGAAUGAAUUUUUUGUUUCUGAACUGUACUUGACUGAACAGUGGAUGCACUGGGGUGGGGUGCCAACACUUAUCCUAGAACAAAGAAAAGUACAACAAUAUGUAGCUUCGUUGAGCAAUGAUCCUUUUGCUUCUUUUUUAAAGCAUUGUAGCUUAAUUAUUUGCCAAUCCCAACAUUACAAUUGAGAUGCUGGUGCACCCUCAUUUUAUUUACUCUUGCUAUUACUUUCUCCCUCUCAAUCUCUCUUGUCCAUCAUUUUCUUCUUGUCAAUAGGUGCGAAAGGAUUUAAAAAUGAGAAAACUCCCAUGUGUUUAAUAAAUUGAAAAUUUCUUCCACCAUAUCAUGUCAAUGCAUUUUCCUUUCCAUGAUGGAAAAGGACAAUUGGCAAAGUAGAAGUUACGAAGUACACUGUGCGGUAGCAAUAUAAAGUGAAGUGAUCUUUAUCAAAAGCAAACUGUUCCGAGCUUGCCAUUAGAACCUUGAAAUUCUG
This is a long non-coding RNA of Frankliniella occidentalis (western flower thrips), 4016 nucleotides long. RefSeq lists it as uncharacterized. The record is from RefSeq and is a predicted model, not a curated record. The transcript is spliced from 3 exons. Lineage: Eukaryota; Metazoa; Arthropoda; Insecta; Thysanoptera; Thripidae.